This 327-nucleotide ribosomal RNA is filed under the name Aname mainae. Its description in RNAcentral is "partial small subunit ribosomal RNA". The record is from RNAcentral. Lineage: Eukaryota; Metazoa; Arthropoda; Arachnida; Araneae; Anamidae.
ACUGGGCUAAAAAAGGUAAUACUAACUAGGAAACCUAUACUUUUUGGCGGCCUUUUUUCUUAUUGAAGGAACUUGUCCAGUAAUCGAAACUACCCGCUCAUUCUCUCUUUUAUUUAGUUUUUAUACCGUCGUCUUAAGAAUAUACUAAAACUUAUUAUCCUACUCUGAACAUUCAGGUAAGUCAGAUCAAGGUGAAGCUUAUAUAAAAGGUAAGGGUGAGUUAUGCAUAAGAACAACUAUAGGCUUUUGCUUGAAAAAGACAUCUAAAUUAAGAUUCAACAUUACCUUAUUUCUAAAAAAUCUUAGGGAAGAAGUAAAAUAAGGUGU